Molecule: long non-coding RNA, 1340 nt
Organism: Sapajus apella (tufted capuchin)
Lineage: Eukaryota; Metazoa; Chordata; Mammalia; Primates; Cebidae
Exons: 4
Source: RefSeq, a predicted model, not a curated record
CCCUUCACAUGAAACCCAACACCAGAGUUUCUAGGACAGCCUCCUCAUUGAUAAAGUGUUCCCUGACUUCUCAAUGAGCUUGUACACUGUAGCUGCAGCGAUAAUGGGCUAUAUCUGGCCGGCCCGGAAUCCUGCCCAUGUUCCAGUCAGUGCCCUGGCUAUCAGUUGUCUGCUGAGCAUGAAUGGCCAGAGGCAGAAAAAGGACAAGGAGCCAUGCUGGUGAGAAGUGGAAGUGAUUAACUUAUGUCGCAUGCUCCAGCGUGAGUUGCAGCCAGCGAUAGGCGAAUGUAUGUUGACAGCUGCCUUGGAGUUCACACCACACCGUCAGCACCCUACAGGAAACAGAUUACUCCAGGGCUUGAGAGCUCGUUGACAGCUGGAGCUUUCUGAUAAAGUUGUCAGAAAGUGAAAAGGACAGUCCCAGGAAAUUCUUUCCCAAUUUCAGGACCUGCAAGCUGUCUCCAUGCUCCUGCCCUCGGUGCCUUGCACUGUGGCCACUAGAUGGCGGUGUUGCAUAGGGUCCCCGUUGGCUCCAGUCCACAGGAGACCACUCAGCAGGACGCCCGACCUCCAGACUCCGGCCUGCACCCGCACGGCACGACCAUCCCCGGAGACCCGUGGGUGGACUUCACAUUCUCAGUGCCCAAAGAAUUCCUGCCCUAGGGAUUGCAGAGAUUGGAUUUGGGGUUGCAGAGAGAGCUCUCCAGAGAAAACUUGCCUCUGCUUCUUUUCUUACCUCAACAUCAGAUGUCCAACUAGAGACCAAACUCAUUCACUUCUGGAGAUGCUGUCUCCCUGUGUUGCUCAGGCUGGUCUCAAACUCCUGGGUUCAAGUGAUCCUCCUGCCUUGGCCUCCCAAAGUCCUCCACAUCUUUUAAGACUUUACUGAGAUGUCACCUCCUCUGGAAAGCCUUCUGGGAUUGUUCUUCCCAAAUGCUGAACAUCUGAGGGCUUCGUAUCAGCACCACGCAUUUGUCUGCCAGCUAUAAUCUCCAAACUCUGUUCACUAAAAACCACUGGGGAAUGAUUAUUCUCCAAUGCCUUUCUAAUGUCUUAGAAUUCGUGACCUAGGGUUUGCCAACCUGAGGGCCCACAGUGGCCGGUUCAGAAUGCUGGGGACUGCAGUAAACCAGAGGAUUUACCCGGUGAUCGUUCCUCAUUCUGGCCAGCAAGGCCAUCUGGGAACGACAGUUCAGUAUUGCCAAAUCUUCUACUGGUUUGAAGACGCUGAUGACAUGGUUUGGAUCUGUGUCCCCACUCAAAUCUCAUGUCAAAUUGUAAUCCACAUUGUGGGAGGUGAUUGAUCAUGGGGCGGAUUUCCCCCUUUGGUACUGUUUUUG